RNAcentral lists this ribosomal RNA (497 nucleotides) under uncultured bacterium. Its description in RNAcentral is "partial 16S ribosomal RNA". It matches the Rfam family "Bacterial small subunit ribosomal RNA", at positions 28 to 507 of the family's 1533-position model. The record is from RNAcentral.
GACGAACGCUGGCGGCGUGCCUAAUACAUGCAAGUUGAGCGCUGAAGGUUGGUACUUGUACCGUCUUGAUGAGCAGCACACGGGUGAGUCACGCGUGGGGCAUCUGCUUUUGAUCGGGGUACCUCCUUUGGACACGAAUGCUAAUACCGCAUAAAAUCUUUCAACACAAGUUUUAAGUUUGAAAGAUGCCAUUGCAUCACUCACAGAUGAUCUCGCGUUGUAUUAGCAAGUUGGUGAGGUAAAGGCUCACUAAGGCGAGGCUACAUAGCCGACCGGAGAGGGUGAGCGGCCAGACUGGGAGGGAGACACGGCCCAAACGGCUACGGGAGGCAGCAGUAGGGAAUCGUGGGGAAUGGACGAGAGUCUGACCGAGAAACGCCGCGGGAGGGAAGAGGGUUGUCGGAUCGGAAAACACUGUUGGUAGAGAAGAACGUGGGUGAGAGUGGAAAGCACAGCAAGUGACGGUAACUACUCAGAAAGGGACGGCUAACUACGUG